Molecule: ribosomal RNA, 1297 nt
Filed under: Fopius arisanus
Lineage: Eukaryota; Metazoa; Arthropoda; Insecta; Hymenoptera; Braconidae
Description: 16S ribosomal RNA
Source: RNAcentral
UUUUAACUCCUAAUUUUCUAUAUUUAAAAAUUUAUAAUUUUAAAAAUUAUUUUAAACUUAUAAGUUAAAUAUUAAAUUUAAAUAAUUAAAUUAUCAAAAAUAAUUUUAAAAUUAUUCAAAAAAAAUUUUAAAGAAAAAUUAAUUUUUUUUUCCUUUUGUAUCAGAAUAAAUUUAAAUUUAAAUUUAUAUUUAAAUCUCGAAAUAAAAAAAUUUAAAUAAAUAUAUAAAUUAAAAUUUUAAUUUUAUUAAAAAUAUUUAUUUAGAAAUUAUAUAUUAAACAAUUUUUAUAAUAUCUAGUUAUUUAAUAAAAAAAUUUAAUUUUAUUAUAAAUUCUUAAUAUUAAAUAAAUAAAAUUAUUUAAUAUUAAAUUUAUAAAAAAAAUUUAAGGGAUAAACUUUAAAUUUUAUUUUAAAAUAAAAAUUAUUACAAAUCAAUUAUAAAAAUUAAAAUUCUUUCUAACAAAAAAAAUUUAAUAAUUUAUUUUCUUUAAAAAAAUUUUUUUAAACAUUUAAUUAAUUAUUAAAUUAUUUUAAAAAAUAAUUUUUUAAAAAAAAUUAUAAUUUAAUUAGUAAAUUAAAUUUAAAUUAAAUAAUUUUUUUUAAAAAAAAAUAAAAUUAAUGAACUAAGCAAAAAUUUAUAUUCACCUGUUUAACAAAAACAUGUCUAAAAGAUUAUUAAUUUUUAGUCCAAUCUGCCCAAUGAUUUAUAUAAUUAAAUGGCUGCAAAAUCAAUUAUUGUACAAAGGUAGCAUAAUAAUUUGUUUUUUAAUUAAAAACUAGAAUGAAUGAUUAAUUGAAAUAUAAACUUUAUCAAUUAUAUAAAAAUUAAAAUUUUUAUUUAAGUUAAAAAACUUAAAUAAAAAUAAAAGACGACAAGACCCUAUAGAAUUUUAUUUAUAAAAAUAUAUUAACUUUAACUUUUUAAUAAAUAUAUUUUUAAUAAAUUUAAUUGGGGAAAUUAAAAAAUUUAAUAAAUUUUUUUAUAAUAAAACAUUAAUUUAUGAAUAAACAAUUUCUUUAUUAUUAAUUUUAAAAUUAAUUACCUUAGGGAUAACAGCAUAAUUUUUUUUAAAAGAUCUUAUUAAUAAAAAAGAUUAUGACCUCGAUGUUGAAUUAAGUUAAAAUUUAAUUGAAAAAACUUAAAAAUUUAAGUCUGUUCGACUUUUAAAAACUUACAUGAUUUGAGUUAAGAUCGGUGUAAACCAGAUCAGAUUCUAUCUUUAUUAAAAAAUUAUAUUAUUGUACGAAAGGAAUUAAUAUAAAAAAUAAUUUUUAUUUAAAUAAUAAAUUAACUUCAA